RNAcentral lists this ribosomal RNA (424 nucleotides) under uncultured bacterium. RNAcentral describes it as "partial 16S ribosomal RNA". It matches the Rfam family "Bacterial small subunit ribosomal RNA", at positions 360 to 775 of the family's 1533-position model. The record is from RNAcentral.
AAUAUUGGACAAUGGGGGGAACCCUGAUCCAGCCAUGCCGUGAGUGUGAAGAAGGCCAUUUGGUUGUAAAGCACUUGACGUGCGGAGGAAGGUACUCCAGUUAAUACCUAGAGAUAGUGGAUGGAACGCGCAGAAUAAGAUCCGGCUAACUCCGUGCUAGCAGCCGCGGUAAGACAGAGGGUGCAAGCGUAAAUCGGAUUUACUGGGCGUAAAGCGCGCGUAGGUGGCCAAUUAAGUCAAAUGUGAAAUCCCCGAGCUUAACUUGGGAAUUGCAUUCGAUACUGGUUGGCUAGAGUAUGGGAGAGGAUGGUAGAAUUCCAGGUGUAGCGGUGAAAUGCGUAGAGAUCUGGAGGAAUACCGAUGGCGAAGGCAGCCAUCUGGCCUAAUACUGACACUGAGGUGCGAAAGCAUGGGGAGCAAACAG